UAGGGAAUCUUCCGCAAUGGACGCAAGUCUGACGGAGCAACGCCGCGUGAGUGAAGAAGGAUUUCGGUUCGUAAAACUCUGUUGUUAGAGAAGAACAGCGCAUAGAGUAACUGUUAUGCGUGUGACGGUAUCUAACCAGAAAGCCACGGCUAACUACGUGCCAGCAGCCGCGGUAAUACGUAGGUGGCAAGCGUUGUCCGGAUUUAUUGGCCGUAAAGCGAGCGCAGGCGGUCAAUUAAGUCUGAUGUGAAAGCCCCCGGCUCAACCGGGGGGGGUCAUUGGAAACUGGUUGACUUGAGUGCAGAAGAGGAGAGUGGAAUUCCAUGUGUAGCGGUGAAAUGCGUAGAUAUAUGGAGGAACACCAGUGGCGAAGGCGACUCUCUGGUCUGUAACUGACGCUGAGGCUCGAAAGCGUGGGUAGCAAACAGG
This 429-nucleotide ribosomal RNA is filed under the name Bacteroidota bacterium. Its description in RNAcentral is "Bacteroidetes bacterium partial 16S ribosomal RNA". It matches the Rfam family "Bacterial small subunit ribosomal RNA", at positions 355 to 776 of the family's 1533-position model. The record is from RNAcentral. Lineage: Bacteria; Pseudomonadati; Bacteroidota.